GCUACUAAAAUUUUUAUCAUUCAUAUACCUCCAAGAACAGAUUAAACCAUUCAUUCUCAUAUCUAUAUAUGUCACCAGACAAAGAUGAUAACCAGGACUUCAACAUUUUCUUACUCCAAUGCAAUAGUUAUGUCGCUUAUAAGCAUAUAUAAAACUAGGACACAAUAGAUGUGCUAGAGAAAACACAUCAAUACAAAAGCCACCAUCAGAUCAGCAGGCCAGAUGAACUACCAAAUGCCUCAGUACCCUCCACUUUUCACUUAUAUAUAGACAUAGUCGAGCUGAGCUAUGAGAUUACCCACAAAGCCAGCCAUCCACUAGGAACUAAGUUAACUAAAUGCAAGCCAACAUGCACAUCCCAGAAAUAAGUACUCACAUCAUCCACCUACUCAAAUCCUACUAUUAGAACGACCUCCUCUACACCAGAGAACGAGCAUCGCCAGCUUCUGAGGCGCUGUCCCCUGAGCUCCCUGACCCUGAACCUUUAAACAGAGUCAAAUGGGAAACAUUGCAGGAAGUUUAAUUUUUUUUUCAAAAAGGGGGGACUCCCCGGCCUCUGUAUCAGAACGAUGCAUACUGCCAACUUUAUUAAAAAGCAAAUAGGUCCAACAAAGGUCUUAAAGUCAUAAUGAAAAUAAAGAAAAGCUCACAUAGAGCAUAUAAAAAAAGUAACCAUAGCGCCACAACCGGCCGGCAUAAACAAGAUAAGGAAACUAAUUUCCUAUCUUAUUACAUGACCGCCAUCCAAACAGGUUGAAAAUAUCCCGUGCUACCAUCUUUCACCGGAUAGAUCCAGUAACCAAACGCUCCCUGGCCUCCGUCGAAGUGAGUAGCGACCACGUACGGAUCAAUGCAGUGGCUCGGAAGAUAACCUGCAAAAAAUGAAAAUUUGUUGUUCUAUUAAAAAACCAAGUCAUUUUUGCAGUUCCAGACUGCCCACAAUAAAGCACAUACUCCUACGCGAAUGUGUCUCGCUGUUUCGGCCUCUAUCCCGUUAAGCCACGUUCCAAAUAACGUGCUGACAGAAUUCGGAGGAGUAAUAUUAAAGGCUAUGUGCACUGCCCGCCAUAGCACUUUUGCCAGCGGGCAGUCAAGAAAAAGGUGUUUGAUAGUUUCAUUCCGAUCACAAAAACUACACCUAGUAGGUCAUGUCCAGUUACGCUUUGCCAGAUUGUCUUUGGUUAAGAUGACUUGUUUAUGUACAAACCACAUAAAGACUUUAAUUUUCAAAGGAAUUUUGACUUUCCAAACAUGUUUGGAACUAGGAAUGGAGCUAGAGUUGAUAACAUCGAGAUACAUCGAUUUAACUGUAAAUUCCCCAUUCCUGGUAAGCUUCCGGCGCAACUGAUCGGGUUGUUGAGACAGCUAGACCUCUAUCAGUCUACGCACUAAAUGGAGCCAAACUUCCCAACGAUUACUGGCUAGCGUUCUCCUGAAUUGAAUAUUGAGGGGGAUGGACUGACAUACUGUUGCAACAGACGCUUCGCGUCGUUGAACAAUACUAUAAAGAGUCAGGUAUUGAAGCGCGAGGGGUGUCUCUCCUAGCCAAGUAUUCUCCCAGAAACGCGUGUUGGUGCCAUUUCCGAUUAUAAACUUUGUCCUAUUGAAAAAGGCUGAUUUGACUCUCAUCAACCCUUUCCAGAAAGGCGAAUCCGUCGGCCUUGCUGUCACUUGGGACAAAGUUUUGGGGUGAAGAUACUUACUACAGAGAAUUUGCGCCCAGGUGGCCUCUGUCUCUACAGAUAACUUAGACAGCCACUUGCUGAGAAGACAUCUGUUUUUGACUUCAAGAUUUUCAAUGCCAAGACCCCCUUGGUUUUUUGGUCUACAAGUAAUAUCUCAUUUGACGAAUCUGUAUUUUCUUUUUAGUUCAUCACUUUGCCAAAAGAAACGGGAUCAAUAGAAGUCCAGCUUUUUUCCAACUCCAACUGGAAUCUCAAAAAAAGACAAAAGAAACAUAGGCAUACUUACAUGAAGAAUAAACGAUGUUUCACAAAAAGGGAAAGAAUAAACACUGAGUUGGACAGUAGUACGACUGGAUGAUGAAGAACCACUGCCUGGACCCGAACCAGCAGAGACACCCGUGGCCGUGGCCUCAGUGCCCUUCUCUGUCUCCACUGAUUGGCAUCUCAUCCUCAGUAUCUACAUACUCAUCCACCUGCUCCGCCGCUAAUACAUCCGUCCCGCUCUCCUGUAAAUAUCAAAACAAAACACAACAAACAUGAGAGCCCAAUUUGCAUAUGCACUAACUGAAAACGGGAACAACACUUGUUGUUUCCUAUCAGCAUUGUCAACGAAUGUAGACACAGCACCAUUCGCAGCCUCAGCGCGGUAGCACCGUCGUAGACCAUGGCAAUGUCCUUCUGCGGUACGGAUCUGGCCGCAGCGCUUCCUCGUAGCUGCCCGGAGCUUCGCCGGUGGCGGGGGCAGGUCCUCCUUCAGCUGGCCCUGCUGAUGCUCCUGAUGCCACGAAUCGACGCGGGAGAGGAGGGCGCAGAACUGGCCGAUCCGGGUCCCUGGAGCGCACUGGAACCGCGGUGGCCAGCCUCGCCGGCCGGAGGACGAGGCAUCCGGCCGACGGCGAGACCAGACAGAAGCUUUCCCAAUUUUAUGUUUUUUUAGGGAACAGAGCCUCUCCCAGAUUUUUAUUUUUUUGAGAAAAAGGAGCCUCUCCCAGAUGUAACAAAUAUACACUGCAAAAUUUAGAAGGAGCUUCAAAUAUCAGGAGCUUUUAUUCACAUGUACACCAAAUUCAGUUGUACAAUAAAAAGCUCCACAAUGUGCUUCAACUAUCCUAUCUUAACUCGAGGAGAAAAUUCAGAAGAAAAAUAAGAAAGCAUGAACAAUACUAAGCUACUUGACUUGAGUUCCUGAUUAUUUGGUCUAGUUGAGUGAAACAAAUUGCACGGACAUUUCUACAAAGCACUGAAUCUUCAUCUACAGAGGCAUGCACAACAACAGAUUUUUUGGUUCUUCUGUCUUCCUUUUGCCAUCAUGCUGAUCAUCUUCUUUUUGGUUCUUCUAUGCUCUGUCAAUGAAUAAGAGAAUAACUUCAGCACAAGCAUAUCCAGAAGAAUAAAGGAUGCAAAUGGACAGAGCACAUAGUUAUGUGCUUGUGUUGCAACCAGCAGAUGAGCCGUCAUGCUCUGAACCUGAAGUUAUUUGCCAAGAUGCAGCUAGCAGGUCAAUGUAGAGAAGUUAGGCCACAACCGGUGGAGCCAAGCUGAGGAGGGUGGCCAUGGAAGGAGAUCAACACACCGGCGCGCGAGAAGCUUGGCCGUAGCCAAGGGGCGCGUGCAGCCCGUGUAGUGUGCCGACGUCGGUGGGAGUGGAGGCGUCCAGGAGCAUCGCUGUGCCCGGCGGGAGGAAGUAGCUGGGGCGGUGCCGCGAGUUGGGCCGCCGGCGGGGAUGGAGUGUGCCGAUCUGGGGUGGUGUGCUUGGCGUCGAGGAGCACGCCAGCGGCGAUGUUGCGAGCAGCAGGGGCGUAGCACACCGGCGGCUGGAAUUUGGGGCCAUCGAGAUGGAAUCAGGAUUUGCGGACAGGGAAGUGGGGGAACGAGACGGGGCUGCUGCUUUGAGAUUCGUGCUGUGUAAAUCGGACGGUAUGAAAAGCGUUCGGGCUGGAAGUCUUCAAGUACCUGACGUCAGGUAGUUAUCAUUUGUCUAAAUGUGUUUGUGCAAUUGUAGUCUUGGUGAUAUGUGCAACGCGAGUGCAUGAGAAAUAAUUUCCGGGACGAGUAAGAAAUGGCAUCUCCGAAAGAAUAAUCUUUUGUUUUUCGCGAGAAUACAUACACACAAAAGAAUAAUGUAAGAAGGGACAUGACCGCACUUCGUUUUGGUUGCUCUGUUUUUCUUCCACCAACGACCGCUUGUGCUUACGUACGCGGAUGAUCACGACAGGGCGAACUCAGAGCUCAAAGCCCUUAUAUAAUCCAACCUUUUCCUCGCAGCUCAAAGCCCAGCACACACAACACACGCGAGACGCGCAAUGGAUUCCCUCGCCUCCUUGAUGGACCUAGCGGCCUUGAUUUCCCAUGCCUGCCGCGACGCGGAGAUGCUGCCGGGCGCACUCAUCUCGUGCGGCGUCGUCGGGGCCGCCGCGGCGCUCUGCCUUAUCAUAUCCAAGGCGCCUGGAGGUAUAUUUCUCCACCAUGGCAGAGCACCCUUCUUCUUGUACUACGGCAUCCUCGUCGCCGUUGUGAUCUUCGGUCUCCUCCAGGCGUCCGCCGGCUUCUGGGUGUCGGGCGACGUGCCGCCGGGAAGACGAUCCUGUGGCUGGGCCUGCUGCCCAUCGUCUUCGUGGUUGCGCUCGGCGGCUUUGCGAUUCUGAGCAUGAAAUAGUUGAUGUACUGAUACCAGCGUCUCGUGUCAUUUGUGUUUUUGUACCGGCUGUUUGAGCUUGGUGUUUCACUUCCGUCCACCUGCACGGUAUGUUUGGGUCAUUACGAGGAUGGGUCUUCUGUUGUGCCUUCCGAUCCGUGUCAAGUUGGUUGUGGCGGAAUCAGAGGGGAACGAAGUUUCUCCCGGUGUUGUAAUGUUUGGGUACCUCUUGUCCUCUUUUAAAGGUUAUGCUCCCACUUCUUCUGUCCGUUAUAAAUGGUGCAUCAUAUAUGUGCCAUUUGAGAGUUUUCUUAUUUUCAUAUACUAUUUAUUUAAAUUGUUUUACCUUUUAAACCGUUCAAACCGUGAACCAUUUUCAUCGUUGUAUUUCUCGCCUCGGAAUAUUUGAAACUAGAUCCCAUAUUAAUAAGUUUUGAUGAACUUCUAUUAUGGAAAAAACUAGAAGAGAAAAUAACCGAGCCGGAAGCACGAUUUCCCCUGCUUUUUUCCCUUGUGCCUCUUCGAAGCAAAUCUGUACCUCUAGCGUAAGAAAAGAAACAUGUUUUCUUCUUUUUUGUGUGCCUCCACGAUAAGCAAAUAUGUGCCUCUCGUGAAAGAAAAGAACAUGGUUUUUUCCAAGAGGGACAGUUAUGCCUCUCGCAAAAGCAAAUAUGUGUUUCUCCUGAAAGAAAAAAUGCGCUUUUUUCUCUUUUCGAGAGGUACCGUUAUGCCUCUGACGGAAGCAAACUGCUUCCACGAGAAGCAAAUUUAUGCCUCUCACGAAAGCAAAUCAUGGGCCUCGUCGGACGAGGCCAUGGCACAACGUUCCCGCCGUGCAAGGCACCGGGCGCGGGAGACGGCCACAGCCCUCGCGGCGGUUGACGUCGGUGAGGAGGAGUCGCAUUCUCCAACGCCCUGUAUGACGCAUCAGUCCGGCCACCGCAACCGCGUCGUGGUGGACGUCUGCGACUCGUCUCAGGAUGGAUCCGUCAUCGAUCUGACGUCCACCGGCAUCGUUUGGGUUUCGGGCUCCGACGAGGAAGAGUAGGGCAUGAAAGACGACAACGCCUUGAGCCCCGUGGGCCAGCUCGUUUCCAUGCUCUACUCUACCUUGCCGGCGACCGGACCAACAUUCUGAGGAGCGCAGCCAGCCGCCGGACAUGGCCACGGCGGAGACGGGCGAGCGGCGAGCGGAACCGGGCAAGCUCCGUUUAGAUUAGGUUUCAUGUUGCAUGUAAUAAUAUGGAUUUGAGGUAUCUAGACGUGGAAUGCAUUUUUUGAGACGUGACCGGUCACUGUCCGCAGACGCAUCCAAUCACGUCCGCGGGUGUUUGAGGGGUCAGAUUUGCCAGGUCCGGCUAUAGAUGCUCUAACCUCUCCAAAAAGAAAUAUCUCCAUUGAACAAUUAAAAAUAAACUCACGCGUCAACCGCAUUUGGCUCCCUGUACUUUCGCAUUGUAUAUUGUUUCUCCUCUGCUCGCCGGCUCUCAACUCUCAACAUCCCUGGCUCCCUGUACUUUCGCAUUGUAUAUUGUUUCCUCCAUUGACCAUCGCUCGAAUAGCUCCCACCGGAUCUGAUGGAGGCCGCGAUUGCAUGGCUGCUGCAAGCCAUCCUUGCAACACUCCUGAUAGAUAAACUCGAUGCGUGGAUUCGACGAGUCGGGCUUGCCGAUGAUGUUGAAAAGCUCAAGUCGGGGAUCAGGGGCAUCAAGAUGGUGGUCUCUGCUGUGAAGGAGAGGGGGAUCAGGAACGAGUCGCUGGAUGAAUCUCUCGCUCUUCUCAAGGAUCUGCUCUACGAUGCCGACGAUGUGGUCGACGAACUCGACUGCUACAGGCUCCAAGAGCAAGUUCAUGGAGGUGGAGGUACGCCUACUGCCCGGCUGUCUGCAGAUCUGCUGGUUUGAUCAUAGCUUGCUUUAGAAAAAAUGAAAUUGAUACUAACUGGUCAAGGACGACCAUGCUUUUCUGGUCCAUUUUUCUUGUGGCACAGUUACAAGGGACGAGCCAGUCGAUGAGAUAUCAAUGGGGGAUGCUGACACACUGAAUAGCAGUGGUGGCACAUUACGGUCCGAGGUAUGGAAACACUUUACGAUCACAGAAAAGGAUAACGGAAAGCUUAACAAAGCAAUAUGUAGACACUGUGACAGUGAGUUUAACUGUGAUACGAAGACCAACGGUACAACAUCUAUGAGAAAACAUUUGGAGAAAGAACAUUCCGUAACUUUUAUGAAAAAAUCUGGAGCACAUCCACCAAACUCUUCAAGGUACCUAAAGAAAAUUGAAUAUAUCGUUUAUAUGCAUCUCCUUGAGUGCACUACCCACCAUUUUUCUUUUCUUACUGCAGCACUGAUGAGCCUAUUGUAAUUGGCAAAUCAUCCAGGAAAAGAAACAAACGUUGGUCCAAUGCAUGGGAUACUUUUGAUGUUAUUAUAGAAGAAGAAAACGGAAAGCCAAUCAAGCAAGAUGUAAAUACUGCCUCACAGAGAUCAAGUGCCGGGCAAACACCGGGACAUCAGGUAUGCUCAACCAUUGUAAGAUUUGUAAGAAGAAACCUGGACCAAAUGACCAGACACCAAACCUAUCAAGGUAGGCAAAGCAUGCAUCGACACAUUUUUAGAAAUCAUGUCUCGCUGGUUCUAAUAGCCAAUUGGCAAUGUUUUUCUUACUGCAGCACGGGUGAUGCUAUUGCAAUUCCGACACCUAUUGUAAUUGGUGAUUCAUCUAGCAGAAAACGAAGGAGAGUAGCUGAGGAGUCACCACAAAUCACUGCAGCUAAUACACACACCAUUUGGGACAAGGAUACAUUAUCCAAUAGGAUACGAGAAAUUAUUAAGCAGUUACAAGACAUCCAGGGGGAAGUGAGCGAGGUUCUCAAGCUACAUGUCUUCUCCUCCAGUUCAGAUCACAACCGGAGUACAACCUUUGAUCAGCACCUAAGGACAUCAAGUCUUGUUCGAGGAGAAGUGUACGGAAGAGUUGCAGAAGAGAACUCCAAAAUAAUAAAGAUGAUAACAGAAGAAAAAUCUGAUGGUGUAGUUGUUUUGCCUAUUGUAGGCAUUGCAGGUGUUGGGAAAACAACACUUGCUCAACUUGUAUACAGUGAUCCAAAUGUGGAACGCCAAUUUGACCAAAGGGUAUAGGUUUGGGUGUCGCACAAAUUUGACGAAGUGAGACUAACAAGGGGGAUGUUAAACUCUAUUUCUGGCGAAAGGCAUGAAGAAAUAAACUGUCUUGCGAAGUUUCAGGAGAUCUUGAAGAGUCAUGCCAACUCAAAGAGACUUUUAAUUAUUUUAGAUGAUGUUUGGGAUGACAUGAACAGUAAUAUCCAAUGGGAUAAAAUGUUGGCUCCUCUGGUAUCAAAUCAUGUGAAGGGUAAUGUGAUUCUAGUCACAACUAGAAAUAUGUCUGUUGCACAACGGUUAGGCACCCUCAAACCGGUCAAGUUAGGUGCUCUGGCAAAUGAUGACUUCUGGUUAUUGUUCAAAUCACGUGCGUUCGGUUAUGAGAACUGUGAGGAGCAUCAAAGUCUAAGUAUCAUCGGUCGGCAAAUAGCUGAGAAGUUAAAGGGCAACCCACUAGCAGCUGUCUCUACAGGAGACCUAUUAAGGAAGAAACUUAACACCGAUUAUUGGAGAAACAUUCUAAAGUAUGAAGACUGGAAAUCCAUGCAGCUCAGAGGAGGAAUUAUGGCUGCUCUGAAGCUUAGCUAUGAUCAACUUCCCUACCAUUUACAGCAAUGUUUCUCAUAUUGCUCCAUAUUCCCCGACAGUUAUCAGUUUCUUGGUGAGGACUUGGUUGGUUUUUGGAUUUCACAGGGAUUUGUAAACUGUAGCAACUCUAGCCAGAGAUUGGAGGAUAUAGGGCAGUGCUAUCUGAUUGAUUUGGUUAACCUGGGCUUCUUUGAAGAAGUUAAAAGAGAAGAACCCUAUCUAGGCAGUCAAGUUCUUUAUGCCAUAUGCGGUCUCAUGCAUGAUUUUGUGGUGAUGGUUUCAAGGACCGACUGUGCAAGUAUAGAUGGUCUGCAGUGCAACAAAAUGCCUCAAACUAUACGACAUUUGUCAAUAGUAACUGGUUCUGCAUAUAACAAAGAUCAGCAUGGGAACAUUCCUCGUGAUGAGAAGUUUGAAGAAAUUCUGAGAAAUGCAAUUACAUCAGUUAGCAGAUUGAGGACAUUGGUGUUACUUGGGCAUUAUGACUCUUCAUUCUUAAGAGUGUUCCAAGAUAAAUUCAAAGAGGCACAUAAUUUACGCCUGCUGCACAUGUCUGCAAGAUCCGCUGAUUUUCGAAAACGUGCGUCUGAUGAGGUGGACGGGGCUUUCCCUCAAGUUUUGAGCAAGUUGUACCAUCUUCAAGUAUUAGAUGUGGGGUCAUACACUGAUCCUAAUAUACCUGAUGGUAUUAAUAAUCUUGUUAGCCUACGGAAUCUUGUUGUACACAAGGGGUUGUACUCUUCCAUUGCUACCAUUGGUAACAUGACAUCUCUUGAGGAGCUACAUGGUCUUAAGUUUCAAAUUACUAGCAACUUUGAGAUAACACAGCCACAAUCCAUGAGCGAGCUUGUACAAGAUUGGGUACAUCAACUAGAUAAUGUUAAAACUCUGAAGGAGGUUUAUGAGGCAGCCCAGAAAAAAAACGAACUCUUAGAAAAACUGCAUUUAUCCUGGAAGGAAUCUCCUGAGGAAACAUGCGUGGAGCUCUUGCAAAUGGAUGUAAGUGGCCUAAGUUCUGAGCUGUCUAUGGACACAGAAAGAGAGGUGCUUGAGGGUCUUCAGCCAGAUCGGCACUUAGAGAUUCUCCAAAUAUCUGGGUACAGUAAUGCUACCUCACCCACUGGGCUUGCCAGCAAUAUCUCAUUUACCUCCUUGCUGACGCUUCAGCUAUACAAUUGUGGAGAGUGGAAAACACUUCCAUCUCUAAGAAGGUUUACGUUUCUGACAAAGCUAAAGUUGAGCAACCUGCAGAAAGUAAAAGAUGUAUUGGUUCCUUCACUGGAGGAGCUAAUUUUAGUUGAAAUGCCGAAGUUGGAGAAAUUAUCAUGCACUUCUGUGGAAGGUAUGAGCUCUAGCCUAAGAGCACUGCAGAUCGAGGAUUGUCAGGCACUAAAGGAGUUUGAUCUGUUUGAGGACAAUGAUAAUUUCGGAACUGAGCAGAGGUCAUGGUUGUGUGGUCUUAGGAUAUUAAUUCUGAGUGAUUGCCCACAUUUGAAAGUGUUGAAGCCUCUUCCACCCUCACCCGCCUGUUCUGACUUGCGCAUCAGUGGGGUUUCAACACUUCCGUAUAGUAUGAAGGGAUCAUCUAGUGAAAAGUUAUGUAUUGGGAAUUUUGAUAAGGAUAAGACGAUGGCUUGGUUGAAUCUUUUGAUGAGCUGAGAAUACUGGAUGACAAAAUUUUGGCAUUUCAUAAUCUUAGCAACCUCAAAUUCAUGGAUAUAUCUGAUUGCCAAGAUCUAAGGUCUUUUUCGUUUGAAGGUUUUAGUAAUCUCGUCUCUUUAACGAAUUUGGGAAUAUCCAUGUGCAAAGAACUUUUCUCUUCGGAUGUGAUGCCAGAGCAUACCCUUGAAGAUGUGAUAGUUACGAAUUACAGGGCCUUCCCAUCUCUUAAAAGUCUGACUAUUAGCUCAUGUGGAAUAGCGGGGAAGUGGCUAUCUCUGAUGCUGCAACAUGCGCCUUACCUCGAGAAACUGAGUAUAGAUGAUUGUGAACAUAUAACAACAGUACUGUUACCGAUGGAAGCGGGAGAAAAUAGUCUAUCAGACAUUAUCUCAGCCAGGGAGGACUCGUCAUCGGGAAACCAAGAUGAAACAUCGACCUGGUUAGCUCGAGAUGGACUCUUGCACGUUCCAUCAGAUCUCAUCUCCUCUCUCAAGGAGAUAUUUAUUUGGAAUUGCCCUCGUCUAACAUUUAACCAGGGCAGCGAAUGCUUCUCUGGAUUCACCUCCCUUGAGAGGCUAAUGAUUUGGGUUUGCCCUGAGCUUCCCUCGUCAUUGGUGCAUAAAGAGGGAAGUGAUGACGGGGAGAACGGGAGAUGGCUCUUCCCGAUAUCACUUCGGGAAUUUGACAUCAGCGGCUAUUCCCAAGAAACACUGCAACCCUGCUUUCCUAGAGAUAGUACCAGCCUGACAAAGUUAGCGGUAUGGAGCAGCCCAGAUUUGCAAUAUCUACAGCUGCACUCAUGCACCGCACUGGAAGAGUUGUUUAUCAAUGACUGUGAAUCGCUCGCUGCCAUAGAGGGCUUGAACUCCCUUGGCAACCUCAGGCAUUUGACAGUAUACGGCCUCAGGCAGUUGUCUGCAUGUUUGGAAAGCUUUUCAAGGCUGAGCUAUAGACUAUGCUCUCAGCUGGAAACACUCAAGAUCGAUGACCCAUCUGUCCUUACCACGUCAUUCAGCAAGCACCUCACCACCCUGCAACGCCUACAACUUACACGUUUGAAGAAAGUGAGGAGACUGACCAAUGAGCAAGAGAGAGCCCUUGUGCUCCUCAAGUCCCUGCAAGAGCUCGGUUUUUCUUAUUGUUUUGAUCUAGUAGUUCUUCCUGCGGGGCUGCACAACCUUCCUUCCCUCAAGAAGUUGAAGAUGGACGCUUGUCCGCGAGUCUCAAGGCUGCCGGAAACAGGCCUCCCACUUUUGCUGGAAGAACUAGACAUCAAGUUUUGCAGCAAGAAGCUGGCUGAUCAAUGCAGGCUGCUAGAAACAAGCAAGCUAAAAGUCAAAAUUAGUCUAUGCUCUUGAAUUGGUUACUGGACGCCAUAUUAAGCACAUGUUUCUUCUACACAUACAACAACAAAUAUUGCUGGCUUGCUUUUAAAUAGAAGUGUUAUCAUCUAUGUUUUUAAGGCGACGCCUUACCGCCUUAGGGAGGGGGGGCGCUUUGGCGCCUAGGCGACGCCUAGGCGGGCGCUUUGGACGCCUAGGCGCCCAAAGCGGUCGAUUUUCCAAAGCGGAGGGGGAGCGCUUCGACGCCUAGGCGUCGCCUUAGGGACGCCUUUAAAACAUAGGUUAUCAUUCCGGAACGAAUACAUCAAGUGACAGGUAAACUGGCAUGUUUUGUUGUUUGUUAUUCAUCUCAUCAUGUCAACUAAAGAUAGUUAAUGUUCUUCCUUUUUUGUGGUGUGAUUAAUUUUCAUUUCCUCAACUGCAGAGUGCAGAGAUAACUACUGGAGAUAAAUCAGAAGGCGUCUUAUGUUAUUUAUUACACAAGUUGGUUACUUGGUUUAACGCAGGCAUUCCUUGCUACACCAUGCACAUAUGCUCUGCAGCUACAGUAAUGCAUAUCGGAUAUCGGAAUACUAGCAACAAGAUGAGACAGAUAUGCUGGGUUUAAUUAAAUUCAUGUCUUGUUCUAAUGAUCAGUCAGAAGUCAAAUGGCUCGGCAGACAACUAUUAUGUUCAUAAAAUUAUUAUUUCAGGUGGGGAAGCACUCCCCCUGGUGACGUUUCAAAAGAAAAAAAAUAUUUAAUUUGAAUAUGUAAGCCUGUCGUCGGCGAUUACUAGUUUCCUUUGUGGUGAUAAUGAGUGAUGCAGACAUGACGGCAUGUGUAUGUGCUAUGCUAUCCUGGUGCGUUCUAACAAGCUCAAUUUUUUCACAUAUUUUUGCCUUUGUGGUGCUUCAACUAUCAAACUGUUCUUGUAUCGUCACACAAUUUGCUCCAGAUCUUUAGUCGUUCUCUCAGUGGUUCUUUGCUUUGCAGACUUGCGGUUGUCAUUUUCUUUAAUCUUAACCUGAUAUUUUGCUAGAGCCAUGGUCGGGAAUGUGCGACACAAAUAAAAUUUCAUAAAAAAGAAGUAAAGGCCAGGAUUAGUUACCCGAGUGCAUGAUUAGAUCAGAGAAGAACAAGCAUCAACUCAUUGUUUCAAUUCGUGGAGAAGAAACUUAUCACGUCAUCUCACACCAGCACUGAAACUGCAUCAAUCAUUUCGGCCAUUAAGCAAUUGCUCAACAUUAGCAAGGAAAAAAUGUGUUAACAGUGACAAACAUAAGCAACCUAAUUUCCCAGAAAUUGCAACAGCUAGCCUGCACCUUUUUUCCAAAAGAAGCUCACCUGCACCAGGUACUGACAUUCGCGCAGUUAUAAUCAAGAAAUGCCUAUAGCAACAGGAAAUUAUAAAGUUACAGGAUAAUAAAUAUGCCAGUUUAAGCUUGACAUAUCUGAUAAUAAUAUAGUUAGACAACUGUUGAAACCAAAGGUGGGUAUAAUCUUAGAAAGUCGAGCAGCACUACAAGGAUGGAAAUUCGCAUUCAACUCAUGUUUGCAUGGCUACUGAAAUUUAUAUCAUACAUAUGCCAUUCUCAUGUCCAUAUACAUCACAAGACAAAGAGGAUAGCCAUGAUUUCAAUAUUUUCUUACUCCCAUGCCAUAGUUGCGUCGCCCAUAAGCAUAUAUAAAACCAGUACACAAUAGAUGUGCUAGAGAAAACACAUCAAUACAAAAGCCACCUUCAGAUCAGAAGGCCGGAUGAACUAGACCAUGCCUCAUUAGCCUCCACUUUUCACUUAUAUAGACAUAGUUGAGCUGAGCUAUCAGAUUACCCACAAAGCCAGCCAUCCACUAGGAACCAAGUUAACUAAAUCCAAGCCGACAUGAACAUCCUGGAAAUAAGUAAUCACAUCAUCCACCUACUCAAAUCCACUGUUAAAGCAACCUCCUCUACACCAGAGAACGAGCAUUGCUAGCUUCUGAGGUGCUGCCCCCUGGGCUCCCUGACUCUGAUCCUGUAAACAGAGUCAAAUGCAAUACAUUGUAGGAAGUUUAAUUCAUUUUUUUUUUGGAAAAGGGGAUGUACCCCAGCCUCUGCAUCAGAAAGAUGCAAGGAAGUUUAAUUCAUGAAGAUUAAAAACGAUGUUUCUCAAAAAGGGAAAGAAUAAACAUUUGGUUCAGCAGUACCACUGGAUGAUGAAGAACCACCACCCGAACCACCAGAGACAAUCAUGGCCUCAGCACCCUUUUCGAUCUCCACUGAUUGGUAAGUUGCGGUUGGCAUCUCAUCAUCAAUAUUUACACACUCAUCCACCUGCUCAGACACUACAGUGUUCUCAGGAUUCUCGCUCUCCUGUAAAUAACAAAACAAGCAACACCCGUGAGAGUCCAAUUUGCAUACCCACUAACUGCAAACAAGAACAGCACAUGUUGUUUCCUCUAUGGCCAUUACCACAUCAGCAUUGUCAACCAAUGUAGGCACAGCACCAUUCACAGCUUCAGCUCCAACAGCAUCGUUGACCUCAGCAAUGUCCACAUUCAUCAUCACGGCUCGUCGGCUCCUUUGAGCGCCUUGUUGAACAUUUCGACCAUGUAAGUAGCAAUCCCUGCAAAGAAAAGAAGAACAUUCGCAAUGGGCAAAUUUGCCGCACUGGCAAACACAAGCUGUAACUCAGAAAUAUUUGAAUGUAAAAUUAACUCAGAAAUUCGCACCAGCACACCAAACACGUUUUACUGGCACUUCAAUUAAAUGUUGGGAAAAGCUUACAGCAACAGGAAGUUCUCUUACCCAGUAAUAACAAGCCAGUUAAAAAUAAUACAUACUCUAACUGAAAUCAAGGGUAUAAUUUCAGAAGAGGCAAGAAGCGUCACCAGGACAAAAGAGUCCCAAUCAACUCAGGUUUGCUGGUACUGAAAUUUUUAUCGCUCAUAUACCUUUGAGAAAGAUUAAACCAUUCUCAUAUCAAUAUAAGUCACCAGACAAAGAUGGAAACCAUGAUUUCAACAUUUUCUUACUCUGAUGCGAUAGUUAUGUCGCCCAUAAUAAGCAUUAGUACACAACAGAUGUGCUAGAGAAAACACAUCAAUACAAAAGCCACCUUCAGAUAGAAGGCCAGAUGAACUACAACAUGACUAGGUACCCUCCACUUUUCACUUCUAUAGACAUAGUCGAGCUGAGCUAUCAGAUUACCCACAAAGCCAGCCAUUCACUAGGAACUAAGUUAACUAAAUCCAAGCAGACAUGAACAUCCCAGAAAUAAGUACUCACAUCCUCCACCUACUCAAAUCCUACUGUUAGAACAACCUCCUCUA
Molecule: long non-coding RNA, 14328 nt
Filed under: Triticum aestivum (bread wheat)
Lineage: Eukaryota; Viridiplantae; Streptophyta; Magnoliopsida; Poales; Poaceae
Description: long non-coding RNA (TAES_LNC021337)
Source: RNAcentral